ACCUGAACUAUGCAUGUGCUUGGUCCAGUGACUUGUGCCCAGCCUUUGGGUUUCUUCUGAAUGCGUGAUGGGUAUCUCACACUUAUUGCUCCAACAAAGGCAACUCGCGAGCCAGCGGCUCUCGACAGAGACAGGCCAAGGGGUGAGGGCGGCGACUUGCGGCAGCCCACACCAGCGGUGACUCGAGGUAGGAGCGGUGACUCGGCGCGGCAGCGACGUAUGGCAAAAGCGGGUGAAUGAGGUAAGCGCUCCUUGGGGACGAAGGCAGCGCGCUGACGGCUUAAGGCCGGGCCGGCAGAGGAAGAGCAAGGGCGCGGGCAUGGGCGGUGAGCUGGCACGCGUGCACAGCAGCAGUAGUACUUUCAACUAGCACUCGUGGUAGGAGUAGCUGGUUUUGGUUUCAGUUUUCAUGCGAACAAUAUUAGCAGCUAUUACGCGGCAGCAGGCGACUUGGCAAUUCAAGGCACAACAGCAGCCGAGGAAGGGUUGGAGUCGAGGGCGGCUUGGAGUUCAGGCCGCGGGGGCGAGGGCAACUCGGAACAGGCCGGCCCGGUGGUGAGUCAGCGAAGCGGGGGACCGCGACAGUGGUUUGAGGCAAGGCGGCUGUGAGCGGCUCGCAGCAGAGGCAAGCAGCAGAGGCAAUUGAUGUCGCGGUGGAUCACGGGCGGCUCAUGGCUUGAGACGAGGCGAUUCAGGCAUGGCCAGGUCCGACGGCGCAGUCGAGCAGAGGCGAGCGGGCACAGCCGGCCAGCGUCGACGGGUCAAUGGAGCUGCUGCUCAGGGCGUCUCAAGGCGGAAACAGAGUCCAGGCUCGGCGUGCUACAGCAAAGGGCGGCCUGGGCGGCGGCAGCUUGAAGCUCGGGUAAGGCAGGAACAAGUCCCCGGCGGCUCAAGAAAAAAAGUAUGCGACGGCAACGAUGACUUGGCGGCACGGCAGUGCGGGGGCUCUCCCACCGCAGCUGAAAACGGGCGGCUCAAGCAGAAAUGGCGAAGCUCGGCUGAGCCGGCGGCGGGUUGAAGCACCGGUGCAGCGGGGGCCGCAACCGAGCGACCGUAGAGGCCCGUCCGGCGAUAGCGGCUUAGAGACUAAAACUGAAUCCGUAUUCACCAAGGCUUGUAAGACGUGCGGUGAUAGUUUGCCUCUGAUCGAUCUCUUCUUUCCUUGGUAUUCACUUGUUGAACUCACGUAGUAGUUUUUUCUUCCUGGUA
Molecule: long non-coding RNA, 1209 nt
Organism: Triticum urartu
Lineage: Eukaryota; Viridiplantae; Streptophyta; Magnoliopsida; Poales; Poaceae
Source: RefSeq, a predicted model, not a curated record